CUGCUCAUCUGCAUUCAGCUCAGCGUGCUGCAGACUCAGCUUAUGGCACACCUCAAAUGCCUGACCGACCGUCCGCACUAUCCGCAUGGCCUGACUCUGAGAGGGGAGAGAGAGGGGAUUUGCUACUACAGUUCUAUGAAAAAAGCAAAGGGUAAAGAAUGAGAGGAAAAGCAGAGACAAACAGGUGAAAGGCGAUUGCUCUACCUUCUUUUUGGACUUGAACACAUUGCAUCUAAACGAGUUGCUCGAUCCAUCACGAGCAAUGUAGCUGAAAAUCUUCAGAUCCUGAGAAUCAUGGGAUACAUAGAAGAUCCUUAGAG
Molecule: long non-coding RNA, 320 nt
Organism: Megalobrama amblycephala (Wuchang bream)
Lineage: Eukaryota; Metazoa; Chordata; Actinopteri; Cypriniformes; Xenocyprididae
Exons: 3
Source: RefSeq, a predicted model, not a curated record